GCCAAGGAGUAAAAAGUCAAUAAUGUUUCAAUUUCUUAAACCUUCACAUGUUUUAGGCUUCUUGGGAUGGUUCAACUGCAGAGAUAGAUUAACCCAUGAGUAAUGUACUAGCAUGGACCAUUCUUCCGGCUUUCCAGUAGGGAUGCAGCCAACAACUGUAACAUCACCUGUGUCACUGAUAAGUUUCACUAAGCAAACAAACAGUUCUCCUGUGGAAAAACAUCUGAUGCCAAAAGCUUCCCUUCAUGCCAAUACAAGAGUGAAGGCUGAUGCAGUUUCACUUGAAGCAGGUUGAAUAAAAACUGGACUCGGCCCCUUUAAGUCCGGCUGAUGACAAACGGCUACUUUUUAUCUUUUGCUGUUGCUCUGGCUCAGUACAGCCAUUUAAUUAUUCAUAGGAAGGUUCUUUGGUAUUUUCACUGUAGAAGUCACAUCUAAGACUUAAAUCUUACUUCCACCAACUCCAGUGAUGAAGUUUCCAGACUAAUGAAAAGGUCAGUGCUGUGACAUUUCUGGAACCCAUUCUCAGCUUCGCAGGGAAAGCUAGACUUGGGUUUUCCAUUAUUGGAGCAUAAAGUUCUUCACUCACCAAAACUGCAUCAGCAGGAAAAUCCACCAGACACUUUAAGCUAGUGAUUACACUGAUGUGAAUAUAAACUUACCACAAAUAUAACAAUGAAAGUUUUUGUAUGCUGGGGAAAAUCUUGGAGUGUGGAGAAAGCAUCUCAAUUACCUUGCAGAACAUUCUGAACACAUAGAAGAUAUUUGUGCUUAUUGAACGGCAUGACAAGUUGACUGUAUACAUUAUUAAUACAUGAAUAAAUAAAGUUCAUAGCUUU
Non-coding RNA from Macaca mulatta (Rhesus monkey), 839 nucleotides. The record is from RefSeq and is a predicted model, not a curated record. NCBI's taxonomy places the organism in Eukaryota, Metazoa, Chordata, Mammalia, Primates, Cercopithecidae.